RNAcentral lists this ribosomal RNA (268 nucleotides) under Schikhobalotrema huffmani. RNAcentral's name for it is "internal transcribed spacer 2". The record is from RNAcentral. Lineage: Eukaryota; Metazoa; Platyhelminthes; Trematoda; Plagiorchiida; Haplosplanchnidae.
GCUUAUAAACUAUCACGACGCCCAAUAAGUCGUGGAUUGGGUUUUGCCAGCUGGCGUGAUUUCCCCUGCUUUCGUCAGAUUGCGUGGGGUGCCAGAUCUAUGGCGUUUCCCUAAUGUACCGAGCACGCCACAUUUUGCGCAGGAUAUCUGCGGGGAUGYGGUGAUAGAGUCGUGGCUCAAUUUGGUAAUGCGCGCUCUAUCACUCUUCCCUUGUGCAGGCACCGGCCGUGGGUGUUGCGGAAAACAGAGCACUUUGUGCUACUUUUCC